GGAAGGGUCGCAUAGCGGUCUAGUGCACGCGCUUGGAAAGCGCGCAAGGGGUCAAACCCUUCAGGAGUUCGAAUCUCCUCCCUUCCGCCA
RNAcentral lists this transfer RNA (90 nucleotides) under Patescibacteria group bacterium. Its description in RNAcentral is "tRNA-Ser". It matches the Rfam family "tRNA". From Rfam's summary of the family: Transfer RNA (tRNA) molecules are approximately 80 nucleotides in length. The record is from RNAcentral. RNAcentral also lists the same sequence under 1 other name.